Molecule: ribosomal RNA, 519 nt
Filed under: uncultured bacterium
Lineage: Bacteria
Description: partial 16S ribosomal RNA
Rfam family: Bacterial small subunit ribosomal RNA
Source: RNAcentral
GACGAACGCUGGCGGCGUGCCUAAUACAUGCAAGUCGAGCGAGUCUGCCUUGAAGAUCGGAGUGCUUGCACUCUGUGAAACAAGAUACAGGCUAGCGGCGGACGGGUGAGUAACACGUGGGUAACCUGCCCAAGAGAUCGGGAUAACACCUGGAAACAGAUGCUAAUACCGGAUAACAACAUAUGAUGCCUAUCAACUGUUUAAAAGAUGGUUCUGCUAUCACUCUUGUAUGGACCUGCGGUGCAUUAGCUAGUUGGUAGGGUAACGGCCUACCAAGGCGAUGAUGCAUAGCCGAGUUGAGAGACUGAUCGGCCACAUUGGGACUGAGACACGGCCCAAACUCCUACGGGAGGCAGCAGUAGGGAAUAUUCCACAAUGGACGCAAGUCUGAUGGAGCAACGCCGCGUGAGUGAAGAAGGGGUUCGGCUCGUAAAGCUCUGUUGUUGGUGAAGAAGGACAGGGGUAGUAACUGACCUUUGUUUGACGGUAAUCAAUGAGAAAGUCACGGCUAACUAAGUG